AUUCAUCUUUAUAGGUUUCCAUUCCAUAACAAAGAAGUAUGAUUUCUCCAUGGGCUUAUCAGGAGAAAUCCUCUAGAAUUUUUCUGCAUCAGGAUCCUCCUCCGUUCUUUCUCCAUGGGCUUAUCAGGAGAGUACAGGUACUGACGCUUGCGAUUUACUUAUAGGUGGAGGCUUCUCUUCGUCAAACUUUAAGCUCUUCUUUGCAGAGCUUCCUUCAUCAGAUAUGUUCCCCGAAUCAGAGGCUUUUCCUUUCAGCUUUUGGUCCUCUGUAGAUCUCUUUUGAAGGUCGCAGUCGCAGCUUUAUGUGGAACAUGAGCUCGAGCAGGUUGCUGAGCACGAGAGGUAGUAGGUAGGUGCUCUUCCCUAGAGUUUUUUUCUUGAAGAUAAGAUUUUACUAGUUGACUUUCUCUCUUUUUUUACUUUUCUGCUUGAAGCAAAGGAUUUCUCGUAGCUUCUCUUGUUGUAUGUUUUUUUUGGUGUGACAUCUUUUCUAGUUCACGAGGAGCUUGAACGUAGUCCUCUCUAGGAGCAUAACGGGAGUCAAUGAGUUUCCAAACGUUGUCCAUGUUGUCUCUUUGAGAGCGAUCUCCUGGCCGCCUUUCAUGAAGUAAUGGAGCCUUUGAAUCAGGUGCUUUGGUUCUCUUUGUGUUCUCCCCAUUCCUAUUGACCUCAGUUCUAGAGUAUGGACCUGGACUAUUCAUUUAAAUGCUUCAUAACAACUGCAUCAGUCCCCCGCUUGUUGUGUUCAAGGAUAUCAACAGGCAGGUCAUUAACUCCAUUUAUGCACUAAGGCACAUGAAGAAAUUCAGGAACCUUUUGCUUAAAUGGCUUAUCUAAAUCCAUAGCUGUUGCUUCUGGAUUACUUAGGACUUCUUCGGAACUCUUCAGUAUCUCCAAAAACUAUCA
Molecule: long non-coding RNA, 906 nt
Organism: Brassica oleracea var. oleracea
Lineage: Eukaryota; Viridiplantae; Streptophyta; Magnoliopsida; Brassicales; Brassicaceae
Exons: 3
Source: RefSeq, a predicted model, not a curated record